CCUACGGGAGGCAGCAGUGGGGAAUCUUGCGCAAUGGGCGAAAGCCUGACGCAGCCAUGCCGCGUGAAUGAUGAAGGUCUUAGGAUUGUAAAAUUCUUUCACCGGGGACGAUAAUGACGGUACCCGGAGAAGAAGCCCCGGCUAACUUCGUGCCAGCAGCCGCGGUAAUACGAAGGGGGCUAGCGUUGCUCGGAAUUACUGGGCGUAAAGGGAGCGUAGGCGGAUAGUUUAGUCAGAGGUGAAAGCCCAGGGCUCAACCUUGGAAUUGCCUUUGAUACUGGCUAUCUUGAGUGUGGGAGAGGUAUGUGGAACUCCGAGUGUAGAGGUGAAAUUCGUAGAUAUUCGGAAGAACACCAGUGGCGAAGGCGACAUACUGGCCCAUUACUGACGCUGAGGCUCGAAAGCGUGGGGAGCAAACAGGAUUAGAUACCCUGGUAGUCCACGCUGUAAACGAUGAGUGCUAGUUGUCGGCAUGCAUGCAUGUCGGUGACGCAGCUACGACAUAAGACGACUCCGCCGUCGGGAGGUACGGUCGGCGAAGUAAGUUAAAACGUUAAAAUUAAGUAAGUUAGUUACGGUCGUUGAGACGUGCCGACGGACGACGACGAGGGAGGAGG
RNAcentral lists this ribosomal RNA (617 nucleotides) under uncultured bacterium. RNAcentral's name for it is "bacterial SSU rRNA". The stretch from base 1 to 518 matches the Rfam family "Bacterial small subunit ribosomal RNA", at positions 338 to 873 of the family's 1533-position model. The record is from RNAcentral.